UCUCCGUAGGUGAACCUGCGGAGGGAUCAUUACAGAGUUCAUGCCCUUACGGGUAGAUCUCCACCCUAUGUUAUCGUUACCUUUGUUGCUUUGGCGGGCCGUCAGGCCUCGGUCAGACUACCGGCUCCGGCUGGUAAGUGCCCGCCAGAGGAUAUCAAACCUUGAAUUUAAUGUCGUCUGAGUACUAUAUAAUAGUCAAAACUUUCAACAACGGAUCUCUUGGUUCUG
RNAcentral lists this unclassified non-coding RNA (228 nucleotides) under plant metagenome. RNAcentral's name for it is "partial contains small subunit ribosomal RNA, internal transcribed spacer 1, and 5.8S ribosomal RNA". The record is from RNAcentral.